GACGUAGGUGGCAAGCGUUGUCCGGAUUUAUUGGGUUUAAAGGGUGCGUAGGCGGUUCUCUAAGUCAGUUGUGAAAUACUUCAGCUUAACUGGAGAGGUGCAAUUGAUACUGGAGAACUUGAGUACUGAUGAGGUAGGCGGAAUGGACGGUGUAGCGGUGAAAUGCUUAGAUAUCGUCCAGAACACCGAUAGCGAAGGCAGCUUACUAAGGAGUAACUGACGCUGAGGCACGAAAGUGUGGGGAUCAAACAGG
RNAcentral lists this ribosomal RNA (253 nucleotides) under uncultured bacterium. RNAcentral's name for it is "partial 16S ribosomal RNA". It matches the Rfam family "Bacterial small subunit ribosomal RNA", at positions 524 to 776 of the family's 1533-position model. The record is from RNAcentral.